Molecule: ribosomal RNA, 736 nt
Filed under: Salmonella enterica
Lineage: Bacteria; Pseudomonadati; Pseudomonadota; Gammaproteobacteria; Enterobacterales; Enterobacteriaceae
Also listed under: 1 other name
Description: partial 23S ribosomal RNA
Rfam family: Bacterial large subunit ribosomal RNA
Source: RNAcentral
GGGUUGUGAGGUUAAGCGACUAAGCGUACACGGUGGAUGCCCUGGCAGUCAGAGGCGAUGAAGGGCGUGCUAAUCUGCGAUAAGCGCCGGUAAGGUGAUAUGAACCGUUAUAACCGGCGAUACCCGAAUGGGGAAACCCAGUGUGAUUCGUCACACUAUCAUUAACUGAAUCCAUAGGUUAAUGAGGCGAACCGGGGGAACUGAAACAUCUAAGUACCCCGAGGAAAAGAAAUCAACCGAGAUUCCCCCAGUAGCGGCGAGCGAACGGGGAGGAGCCCAGAGCCUGAAUCAGCAUGUGUGUUAGUGGAAGCGUCUGGAAAGGCGCGCGAUACAGGGUGACAGCCCCGUACACAAAAGCGCAUAUGCUGUGAGCUCGAUGAGUAGGGCGGGACACGUGGUAUCCUGUCUGAAUAUGGGGGGACCAUCCUCCAAGGCUAAAUACUCCUGACUGACCGAUAGUGAACCAGUACCGUGAGGGAAAGGCGAAAAGAACCCCGGCGAGGGGAGUGAAAAAGAACCUGAAACCGUGUACGUACAAGCAGUGGGAGCCCCACCACCAAAGCAUUCUCUGGUGUUGAAGGCCCUGCAAAGCAGCAUCGCGGUGGCGGAGCGUCGUUUGCGACGCCCAACACACAAAACAAGCGGUGAAUGCUUUGGGGUGGGGUGACUGCGUACCUUUUGUAUAAUGGGUCAGCGACUUAUAUUCUGUAGCAAGGUUAACCGUAUAGGGGAGCCG